This 111-nucleotide ribosomal RNA is filed under the name Caerostris darwini. Lineage: Eukaryota; Metazoa; Arthropoda; Arachnida; Araneae; Araneidae. The record is from RNAcentral.
AACGGCCGUACCAUGCUGAAUUAACCGGUUCUCGUUAGAUCACCGAAGUCAAGCAUCAUUGGGCGCGGUCAGUGCUUGGGUGGGUGACCACCUGGGAACACUGCGUGCCGU